Non-coding RNA from Oryza sativa Japonica Group (Japanese rice), 819 nucleotides. The record is from RefSeq and is a predicted model, not a curated record. NCBI's taxonomy places the organism in Eukaryota, Viridiplantae, Streptophyta, Magnoliopsida, Poales, Poaceae.
CACUCCACUCUUCUUUAUUUCCCAAGCCAAAGCACCAGAAGCAACGGCACACUCCCCACAACGCGUUCCAAGUCCAAGAAAACACACCCCACACACAGAAUGCCCAGAGCUCGGCCAUCUUCCCCGGCUCCGGCGACUUAGCCGUCGUCGCCGUGCAUCCCCGGACCAAUCUGUCGAGUACGUGGUGGGCGUCACCGUCCUCACCGCCGGCCACCCGAACCGCCGACGCCGCUCUGGCCGCCGUUCCUCACCACCGAAGCAACACCAAGCCGAUGUACUUCGUCAGCAAGCUCGCCUCGACCCCAUCGAGGUUCGACUGAAGCCGAUCGAGCCGACGCACUCUGCACCGCCGGAACAUCACCGCCCUCCCCCUUUUCCGGCCAUCCGCCGCCGCCGGCGAAUCCUCCCACUCCGUUGCAGUUCGCGCCUUGAGUCGACCCGGCGACGUCGACGCUGGAGUUUUGCCGCCGUGGGCCAACAACCACCGUCUCCGCCGCUCCUUGGACCUCGCUGCCUCCGUUUCUUUGCUUGAGGAAGAAUACGUCGAAGAAGAAGAGGGUGAGUUUGCUGACGACCAGGUUCAGGAGUUUGCAGACAAAGGCAAGUUUGCCCCUCCUUUGACCACAUUGAUCCUAUGUUUGAUUGGGCUAAAUGAUUCUAUUGCAAACAUGCAUACGUUAGCUAGUAUUAAUUUUGGUAAAAAAAUUAUAUAAAUGUGGGAUUGGUAGAUAUGACCUAAUUGCUGCAUAAUCCACCUUGAAAUAUUGAAUCCUUGCUGGUUGUAACCAUAGAGUGCUUUUGAAUACAAUUAUUGUGUUC